UGCAAGUCGAACGGCAGCGCGGGUGCUUGCACCUGGCGGCGAGUGGCGAACGGGUGAGUAACGUAUCGGAACGUACCUGAUAGUGGGGGAUAACUCGUUGAAAGAUGAGCUAAUACCGCAUAAGUCCUAAGGGAGAAAGUGGGGGACCUUCGGGCCUCACGCUAACAGAGCGGCCGAUAUCUGAUUAGCUAGUUGGUGAGGUAAAGGCUCACCAAGGCGAUGAUCAGUAGCUGGUCUGAGAGGACGACCAGCCACACUGGAACUGAGAGACGGUCCAGACUCCUACGGGAGGCAGCAGUGGGGAAUUUUGGACAAUGGGGGCAACCCUGAUCCAGCAAUGCCGCGUGAGUGAAGAAGGCCCUCGGGUUGUAAAGCUCUUUUGUUGGGGAAGAAAUCGGAACCUCUAAUAUAGGUUGUGGAUGACGGUACCCAAAGAAUAAGCACCGGCUAACUACGUGCCAGCAGCCGCGGUAAUACGUAGGGUGCGAGCGUUAAUCGGAAUUACUGGGCGUAAAGGGUGCGCAGGCGGUUUGUUAAGUCAGCUGUGAAAUCCCCGGGCUUAACCUGGGAAUGGCAGUUGAGACUGGCAGGCUAGAGUGUGUCAGAGGGGGGUAGAAUUCCACGUGUAGCAGUGAAAUGCGUAGAGAUGUGGAGGAAUACCGAUGGCGAAGGCAGCCCCCUGGGAUAACACUGACGCUCA
This 700-nucleotide ribosomal RNA is filed under the name uncultured bacterium. Its description in RNAcentral is "bacterial SSU rRNA". It matches the Rfam family "Bacterial small subunit ribosomal RNA", at positions 56 to 749 of the family's 1533-position model. The record is from RNAcentral.